Oncorhynchus mykiss (rainbow trout) is the source of this 2142-nucleotide long non-coding RNA. RefSeq lists it as uncharacterized. The record is from RefSeq and is a predicted model, not a curated record. Lineage: Eukaryota; Metazoa; Chordata; Actinopteri; Salmoniformes; Salmonidae.
UCACCUUGAGACAAAAGCAAUUGGCCCAGAUAGCUAGUUGUUUUCGCUAGUGCUGAGCCGCCAUUUCCUAACAGGGAAGGGAGACAUGUUGGAACAAACAAUAAAAGAGGAGCGGCCAUUUCCAGCACACCGAUUUUUUUUCGUGGCCUGGUGAUUUUUUUUGCACGUUAAAACUAGAGCAGUGAACACACAUUUUGUGAAAAUAUACAUGGCUCAUGAAGGAUUGGUCAUUCGAAUAAUAUUAACGUUAAAAGGGAAUUUUGUUUAGUGUCCGUCUUUAUUACGGGUCGCAGUCCGGAGUCUACCAUGACGGGUCGCAGUCCGGAAGCUACCACGACGGGUCACAGUCCGGAUCCGCCAGAGUCUCCCUCCUGUCCUGAGCCGCCAGCCAGCCAUGAGCCGCCAGAGCCGUCACCCAGCCAGGAGCCGCCAGAGCCAUCAGCCAGCCAGGAGCCUCCAGAGCCGUCAGCCAUAUUGGUGAAGUUAUUAGUUACACUUUGGAUGGUGUAGCAAUACACCCAGUCACUACAAAGAUACAGGUGUCCUUCCCAACUCAGUCGCCGGAGAGGAAGAAAACCGCACAGGGAUUUCACCAUGAGGCCAAUGGUGACUUUAAAACAGUUUUUGAGUUUAAUGGCUGUAAUAGGAGAAAACUGAGGAUGCAUCAACAACAUUUUAUUUACUCCACAAUACUAACCUAAAUGACAGAGUGAAAAGAAGGAAGCCUGUAUAUAAUAAAAGUAUUCAUAAAAAUGCAUUCUGUUUGCAAAAAGGAAUUCAAGUAAAACUGAAUAAAAAGCAUCAUGUUUGGGGAAAAUCCAAGACAACACAUCACUGAGUACCACUCUUCAUAUUUUCAAGCAUGGUAGUGGCUGCAUCAUCUUAUGGGUAUGCUUGUCAUUGGCAAGGAUAGGAAAUGGAAUAGAGCUAAGUACAGGCAAAAUCCUAGAGGAAAACCUGCUUGAGUCUGCUUUUCAACAGACACUGGUGGACAAAGUCACCUUUCAGCAGGACAAUAACCUAAAACACAAGGCCAAAAUUACACUGGAGUGGCUUACAAUAUCAAGACAACAUUGAAUGUUCCUGAGUGGCCAAGUUACAGUUUUGACAUAAAUUGGCUUGAAAAUCUAUAGCAAUACUUGGAAAUGGCUGUGAUCAACAACCAACUUGACAAAGCUUGAAGAAUAAAAAAUAAAUAAUAAUGUGCAAAUAUUGUACAAUCCUGGUGUGCAAAGCUCUUAUAGACUUACCCAGAAAGACUCACAGCUGUAAUCGCUGCCAAAGGUGAUUCUCACAUGUAUUUACUUAGGAGUGUAAAUAUUUAAUUAAAUGAGAUAUUUCUCUACUUAAUUUAGAUUUUUUUUUUUAAAUGUCUGAAAACAUGUUCUUGGACAUUUUUUGAUUUUCUUUCAAAAUUAUGUAGACAAAUAUCUAAUUUAAUUAAGUAUUUACACUCCUGGUAUUAUUAUUAUGGUGGUCUGCUUAAAACAUGUAGGUACUACAGACUGGUUCAAGGAGAGGAUGAAAAUGUCAGUGAAGACACUUGCCAGUUGGUCAGUGCAUGCUCUUGAGUACGCGUCCUGGUAAUCAGUUUGGCUUUGUGGCCUUGUGAAUGUUAACCUGUUUACAGGUCUUACUCACAUCGGCUACGGAGAGCGUGAUCACACAGUCGUUCGGAACAGCUGGUGCUCUCAUGCAUGGUUCAGUGUUGCUAGCCUCGUAGCAGCAUAGAAGGUAUUUAGCUUGUCUGGUAGACUCGCAUUCCUGGACAGCUCUCCGGCUGAGUUUCCCUUUAUAAUCCAUAAUAGCUUCUUAACUACUACAACAAUUGGAUACCACGAAAUUGGGGAGAAAAAAGGGGUAAAAAAAAAAAGAAAAAAAGAAAGCAGAGCAGUGCUUUAUUAUGGACAGACUUCUCCCCAUCCUAGCUACUGUUGUAUCAAUAUGCUUUGACCAUGACAGUGUGUGUGGAAUUGUUUUUUGUGUAGGGUGUUACGCUACAGGCUGGCUUGCGCUAGGUUUGUUUCAAACCUAGGUUUGUUUGUCUUGUUUAAUCCGAUUCAUGUUACCGUGGUUGUGCUUUGUGCUGCCUCGCCUGUGCCUUUGGGCCAGGGUGUAAAUUAAAGUUAUCCAGUUAUCACC